UACGGAGGAUGCAAGCGUUAUCCGGAUUUAUUGGGUUUAAAGGGUGCGUAGGCGGCCGAGUAAGUCAGCGGUGAAAUUUUGCAGCUUAACUGUAACAGUGCCGUUGAUACUGCAUGGCUAGGAUUUGGUUGCUGUGGGUGGAAUGUGUGGUGUAGCGGUGAAAUGCUUAGAUAUCACACGGAAUAUCAAUUGCGAAGGCAGCUCACAAAGCCAAGAUUGACGCUGAGGCACGAAAGUGUGGGGAUCAAACAGGA
This 254-nucleotide ribosomal RNA is filed under the name uncultured prokaryote. RNAcentral describes it as "partial 16S ribosomal RNA". It matches the Rfam family "Bacterial small subunit ribosomal RNA", at positions 524 to 777 of the family's 1533-position model. The record is from RNAcentral.